Molecule: non-coding RNA, 475 nt
Organism: Taeniopygia guttata (zebra finch)
Lineage: Eukaryota; Metazoa; Chordata; Aves; Passeriformes; Estrildidae
Source: RefSeq, a predicted model, not a curated record
ACAAACCCCCUCGGCUCCUCCUGGGCACAGCCCUUUCCUUCCCCACCGGGAAGUUUUGGAGGAGCACAGGAAUUUUACAGCGUUUCUCAGGGCUCCUGAGGGCUCCCAGCCCUGGACACAGCAGUGCCAGGUGCUCCCUGGGAGUGGGAGCACAAACCCACGUGUGCCCACAUUCACAUCCCACCCAGACCACCAGGGACAUCGAGGCACAGGCUCAGGGCUCCCUGGGCUGCCCUGGCUGUUUGAGGACUCAGAUCCUCCUUCAAUGCUGAUUCCUGCAGGAUAAAGCUGACUGGAAUUGCAAUUGGAGCUGCAGCCACACUACUACUUGAAGUAGUUGUUCUUUCUGUCAUGUAUGGGAUGAGACUAUCUAAUUAUCAGGUACUUACCGUAACAACUUCAGCCACACGUGCCUCAGUACAGGUUUCGCAAGAGGGACAAAGUGAUGUUCUACGGGAGGAAGAUCAUGAGGAAG